Molecule: long non-coding RNA, 3568 nt
Organism: Amphiprion ocellaris (clown anemonefish)
Lineage: Eukaryota; Metazoa; Chordata; Actinopteri; Pomacentridae
Source: Ensembl
CAUAUACCUCUCGGAUUAAACGCCUCACUAAAUCCAACACGCUCAAAAGUGACUUUCGCCAACAGCACCGCAGGGAUCCUAGGUAGGCGAGGGGCAAAAAACGGGGGGCAGAGUUUGACCUCCCCCUCCUCGAUUUGAUUAUUCGAUAGAUGACGGCUGGGAGGGGAGGGGGGUGGCAGAUAGGUACAUAAAAAGGAAUUAUCCGAACCAGCAUAGGGUGCCACAGUCCCAAACACCACCUGUAGUCAGUAGAAUGACUCACCUGUAGGCUUGUGCCAGAGGCUAAACAUAAACUUUUACUCUGUAACUAAAGUGCACAAGAUUUAUUUGCACCUUUUACUGCAUCAUAUACAUGGGUCUUUUUUUUUCAUAUGUACAUUUAGCUGAAUUUACUUUCCUUCCUCUUCCCUUGGUUGCUGAAUUCCUCUCGAGUUUUUUUCCCCCUCAUCAGAGGCAAAACAAACAAAAAAAAAAGAUGCAGUACGUCUUUUCCUUUUCACACCACCGCAGUACCAGAACAUUGCAUGGCAUAUGAUCACCUCUUAGUGACGCAUGUUUGAGUGAAUGUUAUUAAUCGUCGUGGGUUUGGGGAGGCUGCCAUAAAUUUGAAACUGUCAGGUGCUCGGUUGUUUCGUCCUCCCGUUCUUGCGUGUCGUCUAAUCAGUGGCGUUUAAUUGGAGGCAGAUUAAUGCAGGAAUCAGCUCACGUGUGAUUGUUUGGAGACACUGCAGCCAGAGUUCACAUACUGUAGACAGAAUCACAUUUGCUGCUGCUUCUCUUUUUUUGUUGAGUAUUUACAAAAACGGACGUAAUGAGAGCGAUAAGACAUCACCAAGAAUGAAUUGGUUCUUACUGGUAUAAAUGCACUUUUUUUUCUUUUUGUAAGAAAUUUAGAAUUUCUAAUGUUAAGACGUACAGUAAUAAUAUACUGAACUUGAGCUCUAGGUUUUUUGAUAAAUGAUUUUAGGACUGUUAACGGCUUGCUAAAGUAAGCGUAAUGAUAAUGUUAAGCAAUGGUAAAAGUGACUCGGUAAGACUUGAGGCCUCUUAAUGUAGUUUUAUAAUGUAGCUCCUGUAAAAUGGACUGAAUAGGAUUUAAGAAGAGGGAGGCAUCUUCAUGACAGUAUUCUGCUGCACCCGUCGGUCCAUAUCUGUGUCUGAGGACGUCGUUUUCAUCCAACAUUGAGGCUUCUGCUCGUCAUGAACAUUGCAUGCUUUCUGACAGGUCUUUGUUCCUUUUAGACAUUUUUCUAACGGAUCUCUUUGGGGGGAUCCGCCUUAUAAGAGCUUUGUCGAUGGCACUGCACCUCACUGCUGGACUAAUACGGUACUCCUCCAGCUUCUGAUCAAACUAGUGAUUGUUGUUGCCAUAUAUACACCCGUCGAUACUGUGUAGGAAAUGCCUGGGAAUACACCGAGUCCUAAUAGUUCUCCCCUGACACCGGUUAGCGUACGAGAGGGAGCGGUGGUCUUUAUUCAGCUUUAUCUUUUAGUCUUUGUCCGUAGUGGACAGUUGUAUCGGCUGUCUGCCUGUUGGUGUUUUACUAUAAAGGUGUGUCUGCGAGUACUUCUUAGACGACAUUUCGCACCGGCCCUGCUCUAGAGUUAUGUUUGGGAGGAUAUCUGAGUCGUGCAUGUUGAUGUGGCCGCUGAGUAUCAACACUUUACCGCCGGGUAACGGUUUGUCAGGGUGCAAGCAGCUGUUAGGAUGAACACUCACAUCUCAGAAGCAUUAAUAUCUGCUGGUAUCUCUGCUUCAUUUAUUAGAUGGAUUAAGCUUUAAGAGGAGACACUACAGGUGAAUGAGCUUUAACUUCACCAGGUGGUCACACAGUAACACUUCAUUUUUUUGUAAAGCACGUUUCUGGAGCAGAAUGGGGCGUACAUUUAGAUACUGACACUGGAUACAAUCAAAAUUCUGGUUUCGUUUUGUUGAAGUAGUUCUUGCAAAUCCACUUUUGUGAUAUUUUUAAGGAUGAGAUGUUCCAUAAGACUGAUUUAUGAACAAACCCCUCAGUAGAAACCUUCAGAAUAUAGAUGGGGAGGUUUGUUGUGAUUUAUAAUUGACAUCUGCAGAUGCAAAUGCACAAAAUGUACUAAACUACACACCUACAUGUGUGUAUUGGAUGUUUUCUCUGAAAUAAUCUCCCCUUGCAUGGAGGAAAGAGGACAUAUUUUUGCCUGUAGUGUCUCUCUUUUUAAAAAAAAUCAACAAACUAACAUGGAUUUAGUUGGUUGCUGAUGAGAGUUUUUGGAUCUUUAACCACUUUCAUGAGCAGCAACACUCCGGUGUGAUCACGUCUUGUUCAGGUUAGCCGGUGGGGAAGUGUUGAGACAUGAGGCGGCCGCUCAGCGAUCAGACUGAUGUUUGAUGCAGCGACUAGUGAAGCCUUCAAUACGACGUUUAGAAGGAUGGAGCUCUGUGCCACAGACGUGGUAAAAAGAAGUCGAGGCUCCACCAUUUCUCGCCACGUUGGGAUAAAUGAGCUGCAUAUGGAAGGAAAUUUAAAUGCAAAGGUGUCCGUUUUUUGUUAUUUUGUUUAUUUUUUAAUUUUUUUGUUUCAAUGCUCAUGUGAACGUUUUGUUUUUAUUUAUUUCGUUUUAUAUUUUAUUUUUUGUGCUCUUGCGCACAAAUUUUUUUUGGACUUUACAAGUUUUUUUUUCUUUCCUUUUUUAUUCUUUUUAUUUAAAGAACUAUUUGUUUUCGUUGUUUUAUAGCGGACCAUCUGAUUAUGUCAGGUUUGACGUGGUUGGACUGAAGGCGAGUCGGUGCUUGGUGCAAACCGUAGGGAAGAAUGUGGAAAACAAAUUCAUGACUUUGUUUCAAUCUGAUAUCACGGCUGGCAGUUGAAUUUAAUGUAGUACCUUUUUUUUUUUUUUUUGCUGAACCGUUGUGCAGGUGGGAUGUAAUCUGAUGUAUCCCUUUUUAUUUAAUUUUUGUGAAUAGGGGAAAAUAAAAGUUUUUCUAUUAAGCUUGGUGUCAGCUGAAUGUUUUGUUUUCUGUGUGGUCAUCACUAUGUUGGAAACCCGGGAAUACGACUGUAUACCAUCAAUUACAGUAAUAUUUAAUGGAACUUCCUGCACACCUGAUUAAGUACAUUUUGGGCCAAUUAAAGCUUCUGUCUGACUGCAUAGCUGAAUAAAUGUGUUAAAAUCAGAAAACUUUGUUGAACCUUACAAAGAUACCAGUUUUAAUUCUAAUUAUAUAGCCUCAACAUUAUUUUCAGCUUGUCUUUUACAACCAUGAGUACUUUGAACAUUUGGGAGUGGGGAUGCUAAUAAAGAGAGAUAUGACUGUUUGUUUAAAGGCAUUAUUCUGUAAUACUGUCAAAUAGUCAUUGCUGAGAUCACAGCUGCAUGUUUUGACAGGGAUAAUUGGGUCAAUAUAUAUUUGUGGGACUUUCUUGUAUCAUAGUUGACAUUUUUGCUGUUUUCAGGCCUAAAAUCAACAUGGCUGCCUAUAACCAAACACCACAUGGCAUUUUUACAGAAAGAUUCUUCUAAAUAUUAUACAUACAAUUGAGUGAAAUUGAAAGUUUUUUCUGAAGAUAUUGUAGUAAACCUGUUG